RNAcentral lists this ribosomal RNA (459 nucleotides) under uncultured bacterium. RNAcentral's name for it is "partial 16S ribosomal RNA". It matches the Rfam family "Bacterial small subunit ribosomal RNA", at positions 338 to 795 of the family's 1533-position model. The record is from RNAcentral.
CCUACGGGUGGCAGCAGUGAGGAAUAUUGGUCAAUGGACGAGAGUCUGAACCAGCCAAGUAGCGUGAAGGAUGACUGCCCUAUGGGUUGUAAACUUCUUUUAUAUGGGAAUAAAACAGGGUAUGCAUACCCUCUUGUAUGUACCAUAUGAAUAAGGAUCGGCUAACUCCGUGCCAGCAGCCGCGGUAAUACGGAGGAUGCGAGCGUUAUCCGGAUUCAUUGGGUUUAAAGGGUGCGCAGGCGGGCCUUUAAGCCGGCGGUGAAAUCGCGGGGCUCAACCCCGCCGAGCCGUCGGAACUGGGGGCCUUGAGUGCGGCUGAGGCAUGCGGAAUGCGCGGUGUAGCGGUGAAAUGCAUAGAUAUCGCGCAGAACCCCGAUUGCGAAGGCAGCGUGCCGUGCCGCCACUGACGCUGAGGCACGAAAGCGCGGGGAUCGAACAGGAUUAGAUACCCUGGUAGUC